AAAACUUAUUAGAUCUCCCCGUAAACUGAGACAAAAAUAGCUGAAACUACGCUUUAUUCUUUGGAUUGAAGACUGCAUCACACUGAAGGUUUUAUGCAGGGCUGACACUCAGGGUAUAACAUCUGAUACAUGCUACAAUAGCACUAAACCCUUACUCAAAUACAUUUUCUGGAUGAACAGAAGGUGCUUGACCAAAUAGCACCAAGAAAUGGAUACCUCUCAAAGUGAUUCCAAGGGCACCCAAUCCCCCAACCCAGCCAGAGGCUUAAGAGAAACUGAAGAAAUCGUAGACAGGAGCAACCUUCAGUAUAGAGAGAGGAUAUAGCAACAGAGUGAGAGAAAGAGCCUUUUGCCUCUAAGCUGCAGGGGUGCCUACUUGAUCGUCUACUGCUGUCACAGCACACUCACCCACGAGGACACUAGCACACACAGAGACACUACCAACAGACAGCUCUCAGCCAAAACACAUGUGAGAGCUGAGGUUCCCUGCCAUCUGGGGCUACAGAGGGAGAUGCCAAGAAGAAAAACAUCACAGUUCUGCUGAGAGAGGAAACCAGGCAAUUUUCAAGCGUUAUACUGGCAGAACCCAUGAAAAUAGGGGCCCGCGCUAGCUCUCAAAAGCUUUUGACCUGCUGAGUCCAGCUGUACAGGUAACAUCCAGACAGUCAACUACAGAGGCCAUCACAGUUGCUGAAUCUGACUUCAAGUUUCAACCCUUCACUUCAGAAAAAAGGAAUUCAAAGCAACAGACCCACAACGAUAUUUCACAGAGACUGAUCCGAAAUCUCAUCUUUAAGUUUUUUUUCCCUUUAUUUGCAUUUUAAUCUUUGCACUUGUAUUUUUAGUUAAUACCUUUAUCACU
This is a long non-coding RNA of Carcharodon carcharias (great white shark), 862 nucleotides long. RefSeq lists it as uncharacterized. The record is from RefSeq and is a predicted model, not a curated record. The transcript is spliced from 4 exons. Lineage: Eukaryota; Metazoa; Chordata; Chondrichthyes; Lamniformes; Lamnidae.